RNAcentral lists this unclassified non-coding RNA (354 nucleotides) under soil metagenome. RNAcentral describes it as "partial contains 5.8S ribosomal RNA, internal transcribed spacer 2, and large subunit ribosomal RNA". The stretch from base 1 to 120 matches the Rfam family "5.8S ribosomal RNA", at positions 35 to 154 of the family's 154-position model. The record is from RNAcentral.
GAUGAAGAACGCAGCAAAACGCGAUAUGUAAUGUGAAUUGCAGAAUUCAGUGAAUCAUCGAAUCUUUGAACGCACAUGGCGCCUUCCAGUAUCCUGGGAGGCAUGCCUGUCCGAGCGUCGUUUCAACCCUCGAGCCCCCGUGGCCCGGCGUUGGGGAUCUGCCCAGGCAGUCCCCGAAAACCAGUGGCGGACCCGUUACAGGCCCUUCCCUUGCGUAGUAGCAUUCGCCUCGCAUCGGGAGCCGGCGGGCUUCCAGCCUCUAAACCCCCAUCAAGUCCGCCCCGGCGGCACCAAGGUUGACCUCGGAUCAGGUAGGAAUACCCGCUGAACUUAAGCAUAUCAAUAAGCGGAGGA